AACAUGAAAUAAAGUUAUUUGCAAAUAACAUCGAUUAAUUACAGCACAUAUGUACUUUAUUAACCAAAAAUUAUUAAAAUUCGUCUAAAGUUAUAAAUCGAUGUUUGCGCCACCUUGUAUUCUACACAGUGGCAACAUACAUAUAUGUCUUGGAUUCAACCGAAAUUUCGCUAGAGGUGCAUACCCAGCUUGAAAUUGUCUUGCAAUGGUUACAAAGUCAAAUAAUUGAUUAUUCGAAAGUCGACUUUUAUUUUGUUGUACAUUGUUUGUACGAAGGUCAAAAAUGUAACCAAAAAGAGUGUUGUCGGGAAAAUCAAACGUUGAACUUGCAGACCAAAUACCUAAAAUUCCAAAAUGGCUCAAAAUUUUCCCGAUUAUUAUUAAAUUUGGGACAGUGAUUUGCAUCCUUAAUAUGGCCCACUUGCAAUCCUAACUCAUUUGAACUAUAUGGCGGCUCCGACAGGCGGCCGGAGGGACAUGUCUAGAUCAACUUAAAAUGUCAAAACUACCAACAAUGAAUUUGCCUUAUAGGGUCGGAUAUCAAUACUGCAUGUGAAGGUGUUGCAAAUGGUGUUAUGUCUGAAAAUAAAAUCCUUCACCGGGUGAAUAUUUUAAUAUGGUACUGAAUAUACACUUGGACAACAAAUUGUACAAUAAUUUAAAAUUAAUUUUAUCAUAUUUCUGAUGAUGAAUGUUCGUGUUAACAAUGUACUUGACAUUUAGAAAAUUAACAAAUUGUAAUUUAGCUGACCUUUUUAAAAAGCAUUGGCACUUAAAAUUUAAGCUUUCGCAAUCUCUUAGCGGAAUAAAGACUAAAACAGUUAUAUAUGUACCUACAUAGUAUACAGUCGUUUUCCACAUGUUGCUGUUGUAUAUGUGGCCGAUUUCUUCAAAGAUGUUUCCAUAUUAAAGUUUUACACGAUGAACCAAAAAAAGUAAAAUAUUUUAAACAUAUUUGACUCCUAUUCAUGCUAAAGUAC
Long non-coding RNA from Stomoxys calcitrans (stable fly), 980 nucleotides. RefSeq lists it as uncharacterized. Lineage: Eukaryota; Metazoa; Arthropoda; Insecta; Diptera; Muscidae. The record is from RefSeq and is a predicted model, not a curated record. The transcript is spliced from 3 exons.